Molecule: ribosomal RNA, 459 nt
Filed under: uncultured bacterium
Lineage: Bacteria
Description: partial 16S ribosomal RNA
Rfam family: Bacterial small subunit ribosomal RNA
Source: RNAcentral
CCUACGGGAGGCAGCAGUGAGGAAUAUUGGUCAAUGGCCGAGAGGCUGAACCAGCCAAGUCGCGUGAGGGAAGACGGCCCUACGGGUUGUAAACCUCUUUUGUCGGGGAGCAAAGCGAGUCACGUGUGACUCAUUGAGAGUACCCGAAGAAAAAGCAUCGGCUAACUCCGUGCCAGCAGCCGCGGUAAUACGGAGGAUGCGAGCGUUAUCCGGAUUUAUUGGGUUUAAAGGGUGCGCAGGCGGAGGUGCAAGUCAGCGGUCAAAUUGCGGGGCUCAACCCCGUACUGCCGUUGAAACUGGAGCCCUUGAGUGCGCGAGAAGUAUGCGGAAUGCGUGGUGUAGCGGUGAAAUGCAUAGAUAUCACGCAGAACUCCGAUUGCGAAGGCAGCAUACCGGCGCGCAACUGACGCUCAUGCACGAAAGCGUGGGUAUCGAACAGGAUUAGAUACCCCAGUAGUC